Molecule: non-coding RNA, 3057 nt
Organism: Physcomitrium patens
Lineage: Eukaryota; Viridiplantae; Streptophyta; Bryopsida; Funariales; Funariaceae
Source: RefSeq, a predicted model, not a curated record
UCUCUCCCCCUCCUCUCCUUCACCAGUUUCACUGCACGUUCGGGGGGUCAAAUUGCCAGUACCCUCCCAUUACAUAAGCACCCAGGUAUUCCACGUAUUUUGCAUGAUAUUUGACCUUGGCGCUACCGGAACAUCAACUGUAGUCUGCCCCGAUGUGGUGCAGGGUUUGAAGUUUCGCAUGGAGGAAAAUUUGACGUAGUCGAGUUGGACUGUUGGAGGACGGCGAUGAGUCUGGCACCUGGGUGUGGAACCGACCUGGAGGUUCACAGGGUGUGAAGCGCAAGCAAAUCGAUAACAUCAUGACCCUUCCAUCACGAAGUCGCCAAACAAGGAAUCAGCGUUCUAGGUGUGCCACCAAUAAAACAAUCCAGUCCGAGUCGUCAACUUUCUGGAACGAGAAGGCAAGAUACACGAAAAUCGCAAUCAUAUCUCAUUUGGCCAUAAUACUUCAUGGGCGAGGGGGGGGGGGGGGUGAGAGCUGAUGAUACUUGUUUUCAUGGCUGAUCAUUCAAUACCCGAAAUGAGUUCAUCACAGCGAGUGAGGUUUACUAAUCAGUUUUGAUAAUGGUCAGAAAGUGAAUACGCAAAUCUCAGAAGCGCUCAGCAAGCGUAUGUAAACACCACUGCGUUCAGAAAUAGCACGUGAUCUAAGUCCUCGCGACGCUUGGGUUGGAGUUUGGAGCUUGCGAGCAGUCAUGAGUAAGCAAGCAGGGGGAGGAGUGCAGGAGCGUCUGCGGUCGAUUGUAGGACCUAAAGGGUGGGACUACGCUGUCUUUUGGCAGCUCCGCGACGAGACAAGGACCCUCGAUUGGAUAGGAUGCUGUUGCAGCGGGGCCGAGGCUCCAGGGAACGAUCACUUGGGUGCAUCCAGCAGCACUCGCUACCUAGAGUCCUCAACUGGCUGCCCGGAUGUGAGGGGCUUUCACCCUGCCACACACAUCUGCUCACUACUUGCAGCCAUGCCAUCUUCGGUAUCAUUGGAUUCAGGGAUUCAAGGAAGGGUGUUCCUUGGAGGCCAACCGAAGUGGGUACAUGGAGACUCGUCCAUGGAGGGGCAGGAAUUGACAGUACAAACUAAAGUGUGCAUACCCGUCCAAAGCGGCCUUGUGGAGCUUGGGGUUGCAAAUCAUGUGACCGAGAACGCAGCUCUUGUGAAUUAUGUAAGGAAUCGGUGCGGAGAGCAGUGGCAAGCAGGAACUGUAUCGAAGCAAGGGGGCAGUGGCAACACCACCCUUGGAACGAUGGGCCAGCAAGCAGUCAAAAUGUAUUACACACGCCAUUUUGCUAAUAACUUGGAUAGCUCCUGGCCAAGCUCACACCCAUGGGAGCAAGAAGACCCCACCUUGGAGUCCCAGCUCAUGGGAAGCAUGGACCAGGAUCUGAUGAAUCAAUUACCCAGUUCAACGACACAUUUUCCGCAUCAUGGCACAUUGACUGAUUCCCCACGAGGAAGUGGGUUGUCAAAGGAUGAUGGGGAAGUGAAGCAGGAAAUGCGAGGAGAGUCAUCUGAUUGCAGUGAUCCAAUAGACGAUGAUGAUGAGAAGGGAGGCACCCGGUCUACUCGCCGUCACUUGUCAAAAAACUUGGUUGCUGAACGCAAGCGCCGGAAGAAGCUGAAUGAACGCCUUUACUCUUUGCGAGCUCUUGUUCCUAAGAUCACCAAGAUGGACCGUGCAUCAAUACUGGGCGAUGCGAUUGAGUACGUCAAGGAGCUACAACAACAGGUGAAGGAGCUACAUGAGGAGCUUGUGGAUAACAAAGAUAAUGACAUGACUGGGACACUGGGUUUUGAUGAGGAGCCAGUCACUGCAGACCAAGAACCAAAGCUUGGGUGUGGGAUUGUCAUAGGGCGAUCGUGUCCUAAGGUGGACUCGCAGUCCGUCGUAAUUGAGGUUGUUGACAGAAAAGGAGAUCAUGAGCUCACACAGCCUAUGCAAGUGGAGGUGAACAAGAUGGACGGUCGUCUGUUCAGCCUUCGGAUUUUUUGUGAGAAGCGGCCUGGAGUGUUCGUGAAACUGAUGCAAGCUCUUGACGUGCUUGGUCUCAACGUUGUUCACGCUAACAUAACCACAUUCCGUGGUUUGGUCCUCAAUAUCUUCAACGCCGAGGUAAGAGACAAGGAGCUCAUUGGCGUCGAACAAAUGCGCGACACUCUGUUAGAGAUGGCAACGCUGCAGUCGGGCCAUCGACCGCUACCGCUCCCUCCUUCAGACGGAACCAGCUUGCAAACAUCUAUAAUGAGCGGAGACCAAAGACUGGAGAAAGUGACCCACUUAGGACCACUCCCAUAGACAUUGCAAUUUAUAUAUAUAUAUAUAUAUAUAUGUAUUUCUGAAAAGGAUGUGAUUUCUCGAUCGGGCUAUCUGUCCUUGAAGCGAGAAUUUGGAACAAUAAAUUUGUUUGAUAAAUGCCUUGUAGAGGGUAACUCAGGUCUUCGAAUAUACUCAAAAUUUGGGUAGAGAUCUCCUCAAUUCAAGGUGAAUGAUGGGGUAACCUGAAUGAGUAAUCAUUCCGCCGCUCUGCCACGUCCCCUGUCAUCAGUUCACGUCAUCGUCAUCGUCGUUGUCUAGGGCCGUGGAUUCGUGGACUGCGAACUUUCUUUCCCAUGUGACCAAACUCAUGCGCAAUUCUGGGUGCACUGAGGGGUGCCUUCCAUGAGUUGUUGAUGUGGUCGAGGUGGCAAAUAUCGAGUGUGUCGUAACUUUUUGAGUGUCAGAAUGUUGCAAUGAGGCUAAAGUCUUGAGUCUAGAAUUCGAAGAAUCAACUUUGCUGAUUCAAGAGCUAGGUUCUCUGCAAACUACGUAAUUAGCUGGAGAGUGACUUUCUUGACUGAAGAUCAUAUUUUCGGAUCUUACAGGUAUAGUCAAGUUUGAGGCUGUUAAAAUAGAUUCUAGUGAAGUUAGUUGCUUAGUUGGUAUAAGCUAACGCGCUGAAGCCUAGUGCUCAAUAUAAAGGUUACGAAGUGGAAGGGCGUGCAGAGUUCAGGGAGUAAAACUUUCGAGGAGACUCGAACACUGAGCAACGACCCAACGAUCCUGAAAUUACUUACCCUGAUUC